UGGAAUAUCUAUUACUUACUGAGUAGUUUAUACUCUUUCCUUUAUUAUUUUUAAAGUUCAAAUUUUGGUUGUGAGCGCGAAAUCUCUAGGGAGUGGCAUUCUUAAAUUUAAUGCAUUGUAAAAAUUUUAAAUGAUAAUACUUCUUCGAUUUUCAAGACUAAUAGAUAUUACUACUCAAGUUUUAACUUUUGAUUUGAAUUCUCUUAGUUUACUUUGUUUAUUUCGAAACUUACUUUUGAAUUCCCAAAUUGUAUCAAUGUUUAUAAAUUACAAUUGGAUAUUCCUUAAAAAAUUGUUUAGCUUGUUUGAUUUUAGUUCCUUUACUUGUAGCCUAGCAUAUUUAUGAGAUAGAAUCUCACAGAUAUGCAACGUCUGUUAAGCCUCAAUUCAAGGAGUGACCCUGAGAAUAGCUUUAGAAAUAUGACUUUAAUGCAUAAGGAUCCACUACUUAUGACUUGUUUAUAACUCUUUUGCAAUACGAACUUGUUUAUAUCUGUUGAAAAACUUGAGAUUUACUUGUAUUGACAAAAUAGAAAACCUUUUGUAGCACUA
This 552-nucleotide long non-coding RNA is filed under the name Gossypium raimondii (Peruvian cotton). RNAcentral describes it as "long non-coding RNA (GRAI_LNC007762)". The record is from RNAcentral. Lineage: Eukaryota; Viridiplantae; Streptophyta; Magnoliopsida; Malvales; Malvaceae.